GUGCUCAGUUUGACAGCAUGUAUACUAAAAUUGGAAUGAUACAGACAUAAUUAGCAUGGGCUCUGUGCAAGGAUGACACACAAAUCUGUGAAGUAUUCCUUAUUUUA
Small nuclear RNA from Strigops habroptila (Kakapo), 107 nucleotides. NCBI's taxonomy places the organism in Eukaryota, Metazoa, Chordata, Aves, Psittaciformes, Psittacidae. The record is from Ensembl.